AACGCACCUUGCACCCUUUGGUAUUCCGAAGGGUACACCCGUUUGAGUGUCAUUGUAAUCUCACUUCAACGACUUUAUUGUUGUUUGAAUGUGGACUUGGAUGUCUGCCAUGUAACAAUGGCUCGUCUUAAAUGCCUGAGUGUACCCCGCUUUGCGGCGUAUUCGGUGUGAUAAACAUUUCACCGGAGUUUGGUCUUUAUUGACCGCGCUUUUAGCAAUUGGUGGGCUCUAUGCUUUCUAACCGUCUGCCUCUGUGGACAAUCUCUUGACAAUUUGACCUCAAAUCGGGUGGGACUACCCGCUGAACUUAA
Molecule: unclassified non-coding RNA, 311 nt
Filed under: uncultured Sebacinales
Lineage: Eukaryota; Fungi; Basidiomycota; Agaricomycetes; Sebacinales
Description: sequence contains ITS2
Source: RNAcentral